RNAcentral lists this non-coding RNA (148 nucleotides) under Homo sapiens (human). The record is from Rfam by way of RNAcentral. Lineage: Eukaryota; Metazoa; Chordata; Mammalia; Primates; Hominidae.
GUUGGGCGUGGUGGCUCAUGCCUGUAAUCCCAGCGCUUUGGGAGUCUGAGACAGGAGGAUUGCUUGAGCCCAGGAGUUCAAGGCUGCAGUGAGCUGUGAUUGUGCCACUACACUCCAGCCUGGGCCACAGAGCAAGACCCUGUCUUAA